RNAcentral lists this long non-coding RNA (140 nucleotides) under Fukomys damarensis (Damara mole-rat). RNAcentral describes it as "lncRNA (ENSFDAG00000022289.1)". Lineage: Eukaryota; Metazoa; Chordata; Mammalia; Rodentia; Bathyergidae. The record is from RNAcentral.
AUGGGAUACAGAUGUGCUUUCAAACAUUCUCUCUACAAUACAGGCUCUACCUGGGCAAGGCACAGUAACCACGAUAGUGUUAGCAAGCCAGGCUGUGGUUGCACUAGCUCUGUUCUUCACUGGACCCAAGGGCUGACUGC